This 826-nucleotide ribosomal RNA is filed under the name uncultured Bacteroidota bacterium. RNAcentral's name for it is "bacterial SSU rRNA". It matches the Rfam family "Bacterial small subunit ribosomal RNA", at positions 60 to 883 of the family's 1533-position model. The record is from RNAcentral. Lineage: Bacteria; Pseudomonadati; Bacteroidota.
AGUCGAGGGGUACAGGGAGAAGCUUGCUUUUCCGCUGACGACCGGCGCACGGGUGCGUAACGCGUAUACAAUCUACCUUAUACUGGGGUAUAGCCUUAGAAAUGAAGAUUAAUCCCCCAUAGUCUCUUAGAGUGGCAUCAUUUUAGGAGUAAAGGUUACGGUAUAAGAUGAGUAUGCGUUCUAUUAGUUUGUUGGUGAGGUAACGGCUCACCAAGGCUACGAUAGAUAGGGGCCCUGAGAGGGGGAUCCCCCACACUGGUACUGAGACACGGACCAGACUCCUACGGGAGGCAGCAGUGAGGAAUAUUGGACAAUGGAGGCAACUCUGAUCCAGCCAUGCCGCGUGCAGGAAGACUGCCCUACGGGUUGUAAACUGCUUUUAUAUAGGAAGAAACCUACUUACGUGUAAGUAGCUGACGGUACUAUAAGAAUAAGGAUCGGCUAACUCCGUGCCAGCAGCCGCGGUAAUACGGAGGAUCCAAGCGUUAUCCGGAAUCAUUGGGUUUAAAGGGUCCGUAGGUGGAUAAUUAAGUCGGAGGUGAAAUCUUGCAGCUCAACUGUAAAAUUGCCUUUGAUACUGGUUAUCUUGAGUUAUUAUGAAGUAGUUAGAAUAUGUAGUGUAGCGGUGAAAUGCAUAGAUAUUACAUAGAAUACCAAUUGCGAAGGCAGAUUACUAAUAAUCAACUGACACUGAUGGACGAAAGCGUGGGUAGCGAACAGGAUUAGAUACCCUGGUAGUCCACGCCGUAAACGAUGGUUACUAGCUGUUUGGACCUUGUGUCUGAGUGGCUAAGCGAAAGUGAUAAGUAACCCACCUGGGGAGUAC